GAUGAACGCUGGCGGCGUGCCUAAUACAUGCAAGUCGAGCGAACAGACGAGGAGCUUGCUCCUCUGACGUUAGCGGCGGACGGGUGAGUAACACGUGGAUAACCUACCUAUAAGACUGGGAUAACUUCGGGAAACCGGAGCUAAUACCGGAUAAUAUAUUGAACCGCAUGGUUCAAUAGUGAAAGACGGUUUUGCUGUCACUUAUAGAUGGAUCCGCGCCGCAUUAGCUAGUUGGUAAGGUAACGGCUUACCAAGGCAACGAUGCGUAGCCGACCUGAGAGGGUGAGCGGCCACACUGGAACUGAGACACGGUCCAGACUCCUACGGGAGGCAGCAGUAGGGAAUCUUCCGCAAUGGGCGAAAGCCUGACGGAGCAACGCCGCGUGAGUGAUGAAGGUCUUCGGAUCGUAAAACUCUGUUAUUAGGGAAGAACAAAUGUGUAAGUAACGAUGCACGUCUUGACGGUACCUAAUCAGAAAGCCACGGCUAACUACGU
This 496-nucleotide ribosomal RNA is filed under the name uncultured bacterium. Its description in RNAcentral is "partial 16S ribosomal RNA". It matches the Rfam family "Bacterial small subunit ribosomal RNA", at positions 28 to 506 of the family's 1533-position model. The record is from RNAcentral.